This 274-nucleotide ribosomal RNA is filed under the name uncultured bacterium. RNAcentral describes it as "partial 16S ribosomal RNA". It matches the Rfam family "Bacterial small subunit ribosomal RNA", at positions 523 to 796 of the family's 1533-position model. The record is from RNAcentral.
AGACGGAGGGUCCUAGCGUUGUUCGGAAUAACUGGGCGUAAAGGGUACGUAGGCGGUUUGGUCAGUUAGAUGUGAAAGCCCAGGGCUCAACCUUGGAACUGCAUUUAAUACUGCCAGACUUGAGAUCGGAAGAGGAAAGCGGAAUUCCUAGUGUAGAGGUGAAAUUCGUAGAUAUUAGGAGGAACAUCAGAGGCGAAGGCGGCUUUCUGGUCCGAUACUGACGCUGAGGUACGAAAGCGUGGGGAGCAAACAGGAUUAGAUACCCUUGUAGUCC